UGGGGAAUUUUGGACAAUGGGGGCAACCCUGAUCCAGCCAUGCCGCGUGCGGGAAGAAGGCCUUCGGGUUGUAAACCGCUUUUGUCAGGGAAGAAAUCCCUUGGGCUAAUACCCCGAGGGGAUGACGGUACCUGACGAAUAAGCACCGGCUAACUACGUGCCAGCAGCCGCGGUAAUACGUAGGGUGCGAGCGUUAAUCGGAAUUACUGGGCGUAAAGCGUGCGCAGGCGGUCGUGCAAGACAGAUGUGAAAUCCCCGGGCUCAACCUGGGAACUGCAUUUGUGACUGCACGGCUGGAGUGCGGCAGAGGGGGAUGGAAUUCCGCGUGUAGCAGUGAAAUGCGUAGAUAUGCGGAGGAACACCGAUGGCGAAGGCAAUCCCCUGGGCCUGCACUGACGCUCAUGCACGAAAGCGUGGGGAACAAA
This 425-nucleotide ribosomal RNA is filed under the name uncultured bacterium. RNAcentral describes it as "bacterial SSU rRNA". It matches the Rfam family "Bacterial small subunit ribosomal RNA", at positions 355 to 772 of the family's 1533-position model. The record is from RNAcentral.